Camelus dromedarius (Arabian camel) is the source of this 1210-nucleotide long non-coding RNA. RefSeq lists it as uncharacterized. Lineage: Eukaryota; Metazoa; Chordata; Mammalia; Artiodactyla; Camelidae. The transcript has 4 exons. The record is from RefSeq and is a predicted model, not a curated record.
CUUCGAACCACUGUGUAUUUACUGAGAAAACAGAAGUCACUGCUGAUGUACCUACCAAGCUGAAGAGACUGAGCGAGGCUUCAGAAAAACAGGAGGCCAUAGGAUCAGUAAGAACUCAGGUGCCACGUACCAGUUAAACAAAGACACUCGUUUCUGGGACCCACACUCCUGAAGGCCGUAGGCGCCCAGGGGGCAGACGAUGGCUCUGACGCCUCCUGUGCCGAGGCAGAUGGCCGACAGUGCUGCGUAAAACAGCCUCUUCCGCUCCGUUUCCGCUUGAGAGAACACUCAGCCUCAGACAUCUCGGAAGCCUAUUGAACAAGACAGUUGAAGAAGGACGAUUACUGUCUUUAGAGGAGAACAUGGCAUCUCUUUUCGAUUUUUACUUCCCUUUCUCCUUUUAAAGCCCCUUUUACUUCUGUUACUCCUCUUGCCUUACUUGCAGGCACAGUUGUUAGCUCUGAAAAUGUCACGUGAGGCCUGGCCGGGCUAAGGGUUCUCCAAAGAGGAUUGACAGAGGAACCGCUUCCUGCAGGAGCCGUUUAUUUAAAGACAAAGUACUUUUAGUGGAACCUUUAUAUAAAUUCAAAAGGCACUUUACUUCCAUCUUUUGAAAAAAAGUCAUAAUAUACUGAUUUCAAUAGAUCAGAACUUUAUUUCUAUCUGCUAUAAAAUGGAUGUAAUAAAAAUACAAGUCUAUGACAUACAUGAUAAAAAGAUUUCUCUUGGUGUGUGCUCUUGUGCCCUGCAUAAUCAGCACACCUACGCUUGGUGGCUCUGUAUAAAGCACCAUGAUGUGUCAUAGCCCUUGUUAAGUGGCGGGGCGGGGUGCAGAUAGCAGUCCUGUGGCUCUUCCCUUCAGGAGCUAAUGAGUCCAUCAGAGAAGGCAGACAUGCAGGUGGGCAAUUAUAUUAUAAAGUGGCAAAUGCAAUCAUAUAUGUUUGAUCAGAGUGUGGUUGAGCAUGAAGAAGCUAGCAACACACACUCCAUGGGUCUUGAAGGAAGAGCCAGGAGUUUUCCAGACUUGGAUAUGGGAUGGAAAGAUAAAGGAAGGUGACAGUUUCAGGCAGGAAAAAGAGAGCCUAUGUAACAUUAGAAAAGUAGGGAAGCAGGCAAGGAGAAGCUCAGCAUGACUGGGGUUGUGUAGAGAGAGAAGUCUGGAGAGGUAAAUUUGGGACAGGUUGUAAAGGUUCUUAGAUACCAAACUGGC